CAAUUGACAGAAUCACCAUAUC
Molecule: microRNA, 22 nt
Filed under: Ananas comosus (pineapple)
Lineage: Eukaryota; Viridiplantae; Streptophyta; Magnoliopsida; Poales; Bromeliaceae
Description: microRNA s0723_c94a
Source: RNAcentral